Molecule: unclassified non-coding RNA, 167 nt
Filed under: Phyllozyma linderae
Lineage: Eukaryota; Fungi; Basidiomycota; Spiculogloeomycetes; Spiculogloeales; Spiculogloeaceae
Description: ITS 2
Source: RNAcentral
ACCUCUCACGCCCCGGGUUCUCACCUGCGCGGCCGUGGACCGUGGCCUUGGCCGGCGCUCGUCGUCGGCCUGGCCGAAAUACAUGCGGAGGGCCUCUGCUGCCCGCGACGACCGAGCGUUGUAGACCCUCGCUUGAUCGGCGCGACGCAGGCUCCCAGCCUUAUCUA